Molecule: ribosomal RNA, 253 nt
Filed under: uncultured bacterium
Lineage: Bacteria
Description: partial 16S ribosomal RNA
Rfam family: Bacterial small subunit ribosomal RNA
Source: RNAcentral
UACGUAGGGUGCGAGCGUUGUCCGGAAUUACUGGGCGUAAAGAGCUCGUAGGUGGUUUGUCGCGUUGUUCGUGAAAACUCACAGCUUAACUGUGGGCGUGCGGGCGAUACGGGCAGACUGGAGUACUGCAGGGGAGACUGGAAUUUCUGGUGUAGCGGUGGAAUGCGCAGAUAUCAGGAGGAACACCGGUGGCGAAGGCGGGUCUCUGGGCAGUAACUGACGCUGAGGAGCGAAAGCGUGGGGAGCGAACAGG